GACGAACGCUGGCGGCGUGCCUAAUACAUGCAAGUCGAACGCAUUUUCUGUCACCGUAGCUUGCUACACCGACAGAAAAUGAGAGGCGAACGGGAGAGUAACACGUGGGUAACCUGCCCAGCAGCGAAGGGUAACACACGACAACAGAUGCUAAUACCGCUUAAUUCGAUUUACUGCAUGGUAGAGGAAAGAAAGGCGCUUUUGGGUCACUAAUGGCUGGAGAGGCGUUGGAUUAGCUAGUUGGGGGGGUAACGGCCUACCAAGGCUGCGAUGCAUAGCCGGCCUGAGAGGGUGAACGGCCACACUGGGACUGAGACACGGCCCAGACUCCUACGGGAGGCAGCAGUGGGGAAUCUUCGGCAAUGGGCGCAAGUCUGACCGAGCAACGCCGCGUGAGUGAAGAAGGUUUUCGGAUCGUAAAACUCUGUUAUUAGAGAAGAAAAAGGAGGAGGGUAGAAAGUUCCUGCCUUGACGGUAUCUAAACAGAAAGCCACGGCUAACUACGUG
This 507-nucleotide ribosomal RNA is filed under the name uncultured bacterium. Its description in RNAcentral is "partial 16S ribosomal RNA". It matches the Rfam family "Bacterial small subunit ribosomal RNA", at positions 28 to 507 of the family's 1533-position model. The record is from RNAcentral.